RNAcentral lists this transfer RNA (74 nucleotides) under Candidatus Peribacteraceae bacterium. RNAcentral's name for it is "tRNA-Gln". It matches the Rfam family "tRNA". Rfam says of the family: Transfer RNA (tRNA) molecules are approximately 80 nucleotides in length. Their secondary structure includes four short double-helical elements and three loops (D, anti-codon, and T loops). The record is from RNAcentral. Lineage: Bacteria; Candidatus Peregrinibacteriota; Candidatus Peribacteria; Candidatus Peribacterales.
UGGGGCGUAGCCAAGCGGUAAGGCAACGGGUUCUGGUCCCGUGAUCGGGGGUUCGAAUCCCUCCGCCCCAGCCA